Molecule: long non-coding RNA, 2756 nt
Filed under: Ananas comosus (pineapple)
Lineage: Eukaryota; Viridiplantae; Streptophyta; Magnoliopsida; Poales; Bromeliaceae
Description: long non-coding RNA (ACOM_LNC029873)
Source: RNAcentral
CCUAUUUUAAAUAUAUGGAUUUGGUAAUAUCACAAGGAAUACAUAAAGAUCACAUUAUUACAUUAAUGAUUCCAACAACGGAGUUACAUAAACAAGAGCUGUAAUUUGUUGGCAUACUAGGAAUGAUCAGGUGCCCAAACAAGAUGAAAUUAACUUGCAUUAUCUAAAUUCAAAAGCACACACCCACACACACAUCAUAUAUUUUUGCUCAUUUUACUCCUGGCUUUUGGUAACAUUAGCUCCAUUCUCUUCUCCAUUAGUGGAAACCGCCGCCGUCGACGGCGAAGGCGAGGCGCUUGGAUUUACUUUUCUUUUUGAGCCCUUUUGGUUACUAGUGACCUUCUCUUCCUCCCCUCUCUUCUCCUUUUGUUUCUUGGUUUGCUCUUUUAGGGAGUUGAUGUAGCCAUAGGAAAAGCCCAUGGAACUCAUGGCUUAGAUGGAGGUGUUUGAAGGGGUUUUGGAUAUAAGUUGACUUUGUGCAAAGAUUGUGAUAGGAGUUGAUUGGCCGUGGGGGUAUUUAUAGAUCUCAAAGGACAUGUACUCUCUCUCUCUCUCUCUCUCUCUCUCAUAGAAUAUUAAUAUUUUGGGCAACAUAAUAUUAAAGCGAGCAUGUACUAAACUCUCUUAUUUUGGGCAACAUAAUAUUAGAGCGAGCUAGUUCUAAACUUAUUUAGUUUUAAGAGAUGUUUUGUUCCACAAAUUAUUUUUGGGAAAAGAAAAAAUCUUCCCAAAAAACAUCUUUCCGAUAGUUUUCAUUUUUUAAAUAAAAAUAACCUAGAAAUGGAAAGGAAACUUUUUUAUGAAAUCUGAAGAAAUCUUUUGCAGGAAAAAACUUUCCCUGGAAAUCAAACACCCAAAGUUUCUUAUUCAAUUCCCACAUAUAUCAUAAUGGUAUAAAUUCUUGUAUAUUACGUUUCUUAUUUUGUAGAUUUUUAAUGCACGUGAUAUGAUUCAUUUGAUCUAUAUAUAUAUAUAUAUAUAUAUAUAGNAAUUUUAAUGAGAGUUAUUAACCCGCAUCGAAUAUGGCAAUGUUAAUGGCAUGUCAAUAUUGAUGUACGUCGAUGUGCUGGGAAUUACUACGGAGACAAGAUAAGUAGUGCGGUGCAACCAAGCGAAGAACGCCCCUAAAAGAUUUGAUCUGUUGUAAAACUGAGUCAAAAAAAUUAUUAGGUAUACUAAUCUUAUUUUUAUAUAUACUAUUCUAAGAAAUGCUUUUUUUUUUUUUUACAAAAGGUAUCAAAGGUAAUCUCAUUAUUAUUAUAUAUAUAAAGUAAUAAAAUUUUAAAAAUUAUUUUUCAACUCUAUGCAACCAAAUAAAUUAUUUAUAAUUGCAUCGCUUUUUACUACAUCCAACCAAUCAUAAUGUAUAUAGUUGCAACUGCUGCAUUUCCAACUACACUGUGUUUGUAAUUACAUCUAACCAAACAGUCCCUAAAUAUUGAAAAUGGAGAUUGAAUCCACCACCAUAUAAAAUGAAGAGAUUUCGAAUUAACUUUUAUAUCAUAUUAACUAAAAGAUCAAUUUAGUAUAUAUAUAUAUAUAUAUCAACAAUCAAGACAUUAACCGACUGUCUCUAAGUGGCUUUGGCUUGGUGGUUGGUACCAAAGGUCGCAAAUUCGAAUUCUAGUUGAUUCACAUCUCUAGCUAAGUUUAUUUUUAAAUGAAAUAAACGAAGUGGGUGGCGUGCUACCUAUCUCUCAAAAAACUCAAUCGAGACAUUAAUAGCUCAUAAAAGUAAUAUUCUUGAGGGUCCACACAGCAAAGCUGGCAACUUAAUGUUUUCUCUACUAAUAAAAAGAUGCAAAAAAGGAAACAAAAAAUGAAAAAUUGCGAAUCGGACCUUCUAAUUAUAGGAUUUGCUUGUACUUACUAAAAUUAUCUCAAAUGGUGGCAAAUCAAAUAAUUCCGAACAGAGAAUUUACUAAAUUAUGAUUUGCAAUUUCAUCGAAAUUAGUGAUUUGGAGAACUUCAAACAGGAUUUGAUCCAAAAACCUUUUGUAGGGCAUUAAAUUCUUUUUUUUUUCUUAGCCUAUAUCAUGUAUUAAACUUCUAAUUAUCAUUUUAGUCGACCAAGUCGAUCAAGAAUUAAAUCAAAAUCUAAUUUUUGAGUGAAGAUUAAUGCUUCAGAUCUUGAAUACUUCAUUUGCAACCACUUAAAAAGAGCUCAAUUGACUUUUAUUCAUGAAAUUUUCUUUUUGAAUUGAAAUUUAUUGAGUUUCAUCGUUCAAUAAGAAAGGGAUAUUGAGCUAUUUUAUGGAAAUCCUAUUUUAAAUAUAUGGAUUUGGUAAUAUCACAAGGAAUACAUAAAGAUCACAUUAUUACAUUAAUGAUUCCAACAACGGAGUUACAUAAACAAGAGCUGUAAUUUGUUGGCACACUAGGAAUGAUCAGGUGCCCAAACAAGAUGAAAUUAACUUGCAUUAUCUAAAUUCAAAGGCACACACCCACACACAUAUAUAUCAUAUAUUUUUGCUCAUUUUACUCCUGGCUUUUGGUAACAUGAGCUCCAUUCUCUUCUCCAUUAGUGGAAACCGCCGCCGUCGACGGCGAAGGCGAGGCGCUCGGAUUUACUUUUCUUUUUGAGCCCUUUUGGUUACUAGUCCCCUUCUCUUCCUCCCUCUCUUCUCCUUUUGUUUCUUGGUUUGCUCUUUUAGGGAGUUGAUGUAGCCAUAGGAAAAGCCCAUGGAACUCAUGGCUUAGAUGGAGGUGUUUGAAGGGGUUUUGGAUAUAAGUUGACUUUGUGCAAAGAUUGUGAU